This 350-nucleotide ribosomal RNA is filed under the name uncultured Theileria sp. RNAcentral's name for it is "SSU rRNA". It matches the Rfam family "Eukaryotic small subunit ribosomal RNA", at positions 516 to 900 of the family's 1831-position model. The record is from RNAcentral. Lineage: Eukaryota; Apicomplexa; Aconoidasida; Piroplasmida; Theileriidae.
GAUGGGAAUUUAAACCUCUUCCAGAGUAUCAAUUGGAGGGCAAGUCUGGUGCCAGCAGCCGCGGUAAUUCCAGCUCCAAUAGCGUAUAUUAAAAUUGUUGCAGUUAAAAAGCUCGUAGUUGAAUUUCUGCUGCAUUGCAUUUGCUCCUUGACGAGUGUCUGUAUUGCGGCUUAUUUCGGAUUAUGCUUGCAUUUUCCGGAUGUUUACUUUGAGAAAAUUAGAGUGCUCAAAGCAGGCUUUUGCCUUGAAUAGUUUAGCAUGGAAUAAUAAAGUAGGACUUUGGUUCUAUUUUGUUGGUUUUAGGUACCAAAGUAAUGGUUAAUAGGAACAGUUGGGGGCAUUCGUAUUUA